CCUGAGACCUCCGGAUCUCACAAUCCUAUCUAAGACACCUCUUAGCAUCAACUCAAACCUAUCAUGUAUUUAGACCCUCUGUUGAUCCAUAAAAUCUCUAAAGAGAGAAAUCUAUGAAGAGAGAUAAUUUUAGAGAGAGAAAAUAGAGAGAUAAACUCAUAGUGAGAGAAAGUGGAGAGAAAAAAUUGAUGAAGAAAGGGAAGGAAGAGAGGGAAGAGAUAGAAAC
RNAcentral lists this long non-coding RNA (226 nucleotides) under Elaeis guineensis (African oil palm). Its description in RNAcentral is "long non-coding RNA (EGUI_LNC003080)". Lineage: Eukaryota; Viridiplantae; Streptophyta; Magnoliopsida; Arecales; Arecaceae. The record is from RNAcentral.